This 2924-nucleotide long non-coding RNA is filed under the name Theobroma cacao (cacao). Its description in RNAcentral is "long non-coding RNA (TCAC_LNC001406)". The record is from RNAcentral. Lineage: Eukaryota; Viridiplantae; Streptophyta; Magnoliopsida; Malvales; Malvaceae.
CCUUCUUCUUCUCUCUUUCUUUCUUUCUCCUUCUUUUUCUUCCCCUCGCCAGUCCGCAUCACUCCCCACUGUCGGUGCCUCUCUCUUCUCCUUCCCCUCAUUUCUUUCUCUCUAAGCUCAACAGGUGACACUAACCUCAAGAGAAAACUCACUCCUUUGCUGCUUGCCCAAAGCCAAGCCCAAACUGACCAACUCUCAAAAAUAAACGCUCGUGCUUUUCCUUUUUUUUUUUGUAUGUAUUUUUUGGAUUGUGUAUUCUUUUCAAAUCUGUCCGAGGCCUCUUUUUAAGAGAUGGAUUGUCCAAAAAUUUCAACAAUCCAACGAUGAAAUCAUGCUCUUCUAAGCAUGAUUUCACAAGGCUCUGACAUAAAUGGGGGCUAAUUGCUAGAGGUAACUAUUCCCUAAAAUUUGACUACUUUCCAAGGACCUUAAGUGCCCCGUAAUGACAGAUUGGAGAGGGGGGGCUGAGUACAUGCUCAAUCUUCUCCCUGUUUUCUUUUCUUUCCUUUUUUUUUUUAUUUAUUAUUUAUUAUUUUUAUUUUUGAUUGAUUUUGAAUGGGUGUCUACAAUCAGGUCAAGUUUGAGUGGCCCUAUGGAGUUCUAAAUUUAAUUCUUUCAUGUAUAUUGCAUCCAAAGAUGUUUUUGGUCAUGAAUGUUGUUUAUCCAGAUAUGUUGAUUUUGAUUUUCAUAGCUUUUGUUAAGCUAGAUGCUUCAAUGCUUAUGUUUAUGUCAUUUGGUGUUUGUUUAUUAUCUUAUUUUACAUAUGCAGUUAUUUUUUAUCAAAUAAAUUAUUUCAUGGUGCUUAAGGUUAAGAGCAGCAACGGUUUGUGCUCUCAUUGAUGGUCCAAUUUCGGUGUGAAAUGAAUCUUUCUCAUUAUUAAGGCAAGGAUUGGUUGUCAAAUAAGAUUGGCAAACCAUGUACAACCUUUCCUUUCUUUAACAAUGAGAAAAAUAUUUUCUCUAACCGAAAUUUGGACCUUCUUAUGAUAAUACAAUUGUUGUUAACUCAAUAGAACCAAUGACACAUAUAAACAAAUAACUAUUUUCUGCAUUAAAAAUUUGUUUUUUUUUUUUGUUUUCUCUCUUCUCAUUUUAUAAAUACAUAUAGUAAUUAUAUUCCAUAUGUAUUAAUAGUCCACAAAAAAUAUGAGGCUCUUCUUUGCUGACCUAACAUUUACAAUAUAUGCUACAAAUCCCAUUCUCAUUUAAUGUUUAGCUAACACAAAUAGGACCUCUGGCAUCAAUUUUUUGUUCAAUAUUGUGUAAGACAUAUUAAUUUAAUUUGUUUUGUUCCUAAGAUAUUAUUAUGCAUUUGCAUUGUCAAAUCACGCUCAUGACUUUUAAGUCAAGUACCUCUAUGUUCAUGUUUGUGUGAUUUAGUUUGUGUUUAUUGUUUCAUUCUACAGAUGAGGGUUUCUCUACAUGGUCUUUAAGGUUAAGAGUGGCAAUAUUUUCUACUAUCAUUAGUGGUCCAAUUUUGAUGUGAAAAAAAAAUCCUUCUUAUUAUUAAGAGAAGGAUUGUUCGUUAAAUAAGAUUGAUAAGGUACAGUAUGACCUCUUUUUCUUUUAGAGGCGAGAAAGAUUAUUUCUCCGAAAUUUAAACCAUCCCAUGAUAGUGCAAACCUUGUUUACUCAAUACAUGUAGUGGCAUAUAUAGACAUAUAAUUAUCCUUUGUAUUAAAAUAGAUUUAAUUUAUUUUUUCCUUUUUAUUUUCUGUCUUCUCAUUUUACAAAUACAUACAUUAGUUAGACGACAGUUACAAUGUCUGCUACAAAUCCUGUUCUAAUCUUAUGUUCCGCUGACACAAAUAAUAAAACUGGUGUGAAUUAUCAAUUCAAUAUUAACCGACAUGCAUUAAUUACACUUGCCCUAUUUCUAAAAAAUAUUAUGAUGCAUUUGUCCUGUCAAAUGAAGGUCCAGUUUUUUAAGACAAGUGUUUCUUUAUUUGUCUUAGCAUAAUAUGGUCUUUGUUUGUUAUUUUGUAGUGAACACAUUGAUUUGCCAUUUGGCGUUGAGACAAGGUAUUGCCAGAUUUUGUAAAGGUUUUUCAGUGAUUUUUCUUUUCGAUUGUAGUGUAUUAUUUGGCUCCACUAUUCUGAUAUUCUAUUGUUUUUUAAGAUCAUUGUCUAUAAUAGAAUAAAGGCAGACACAAUCUAACUGCGUUAUUAUGAUAUUGAAUUUUUAGCUAUUUUAUGUCACUCAUCCAUGAUGUAAAUUGCCAGUUUCAAUUGUGAAUGAUAAUCUUAACUGAAACAAAAAAAAAAAAAAAACCACAAUGACUAAACUUUUUAUCACUUCAUUGUCCUAUAUGACAUUAGUGGCCAUAGUUGAUGACAACUGAUAAAUGAUAGAUUGCCAAUCUACUUAUCAAAUUUUUUGCACAUGUUUUCAAAACUAUAAAUGAUGUAUAUAAUUAAAGAACUAUAUUUGAUCACCCAUUUUUUAUUAUUAUUAAAAAAAUUUUGUUUGUUGUUUAUUAUAUAUUAUUAAUUUGUUUCAAUGCCUUUUUUUAUAACUAAUCCUUGAAAAACGAUGUGUUUGCGAAAGCAAAAAACACUCUCUUCAUCAUUAAUUUCUCUAAAUUUUUUAACUGGAGUUUUGUAAGAAUUCAUCGGUUUAAUUUAAUUGAUUUGCAUUGAUAGAUAACAUUACAUGUUAAUCAUUAUAUCUUAAUCAGCAUAUGAUGAUUUAAUUCAGUUCGUCUGGCUAAUUGGUGUUCAAUAUUUAUGUAACUACUUAUCUCUUUUCUAUACAUUUGCUGGUGCUGACAUUUACUUUUGUCACUUUUGAAACUGUUGUUCUAGCUGACACGCCCAGUUCAAAGUUUGGCUGAUAUGUCAAUUAUAGACUAUUGUGCAUAACACAAUGUUUCGUAAUUUCUUAACAAUUUCUGUCUCAUUUUACACUUACUGUUUUGUAUUUG